This 253-nucleotide ribosomal RNA is filed under the name uncultured bacterium. RNAcentral's name for it is "partial 16S ribosomal RNA". It matches the Rfam family "Bacterial small subunit ribosomal RNA", at positions 524 to 776 of the family's 1533-position model. The record is from RNAcentral.
CACGUAGGGCGCAAGCGUUGUCCGGAAUUAUUGGGCGUAAAGAGCUCGUAGGCGGUCUGUUGCGUCCGCUGUGAAAACUCGGGGCUUAACCCCGAGCCUGCAGUGGAUACGGGCAGACUAGAGGUAGGUAGGGGAGAAUGGAAUUCCCGGUGUAGCGGUGAAAUGCGCAGAUAUCAGGAGGAACACCGGUGGCGAAGGCGGGUCUCUGGGCCGAUAUUGACGCUGAGGAGCGAAAGCGUGGGGAGCGAACAGG